RNAcentral lists this unclassified non-coding RNA (339 nucleotides) under Hevea brasiliensis (rubber tree). The record is from RNAcentral. Lineage: Eukaryota; Viridiplantae; Streptophyta; Magnoliopsida; Malpighiales; Euphorbiaceae.
AGUAUACAUGAAGUUAUAAUAAAUGCAAUGGUAAUCAGCACCAAAUGCCUCCAUUAACAAGCAAAUAUUUACAUUGGACUUGUUCCUCACAAGUAUAAUGCUGCUCAAUAAAUGUUCGAACGAAACAUACGUCUAGACCAGAAGCUGGAAACUGAAGUACAUCUUCAAACAGGCAUCUUGGUCCAGAGAAAUACACUUCACAUUUUACUAGCAUGUUUACCGAAUAAUGAAUGCCGCCCUUCAGCAAUGAGCUCCCCCGUUGUUUUAUUUUUCACAAGUACACUUGUCCCGGAAUAUCCUCCUUUCUGACCCAAGACUCUACCAAUAACCUCCAACUCA